CUGUUCACAGAUGCUGUCAUAAUCACCAGCAAUGGACUCUCUAUGCUCUUUGCAGUCCUCAACCUUAGGCAGCGAGAGGCUCUUACGCCUCUUUUGCAUUUCCUUGGUGUCUCCUUCUCCACUCUUCCUUGCCUGGAGGGGAACUUUGGCUACAGUCAUCAGGACAGGCCUGGAUCUCCCCCGGUUGACAUCGAACACCAGCAGACUAACAACUAGUUUUAUGAAAAGCUUUUAUCACAAAUCUGCCACGCCUAAAAGACCUCGACAUGGAUGAACCACACAAUUCAGUGCUUUGAGCAUUCACACCUCUAAAGCUCAAGUUAUAUUCAACAGCAGUGACUGAGCCCCACAGACAGCUCAUGCAAACCCUGCUGCCUCGCGUGGCUCUGUCUGAGCAGAUUACAUGCAGAGGCUAAGAA
Passer domesticus (house sparrow) is the source of this 419-nucleotide long non-coding RNA. RefSeq lists it as uncharacterized. The record is from RefSeq and is a predicted model, not a curated record. NCBI's taxonomy places the organism in Eukaryota, Metazoa, Chordata, Aves, Passeriformes, Passeridae. The transcript has 2 exons.